This 205-nucleotide long non-coding RNA is filed under the name Carica papaya (papaya). RNAcentral's name for it is "long non-coding RNA (CPAP_LNC006092)". The record is from RNAcentral. Lineage: Eukaryota; Viridiplantae; Streptophyta; Magnoliopsida; Brassicales; Caricaceae.
CAUAAUCAAUUCACAUACAAACAAGCAACAGUAGUUCAUGCCAAACAGAUAACAUACAGUAUCGGUUUUUCAGUCAUUCAACCCAUGAUUAAUAAAAACGUAGUAAAUGCACACAAAUCUGUAAAAUAAACACAUCAAACCUCAUUUUGCAUUUAAAGCUGUAAACAUGCCAAAUAACAGUAAACCACCAAUCACACUAGACUCG